This 427-nucleotide ribosomal RNA is filed under the name uncultured bacterium. Its description in RNAcentral is "bacterial SSU rRNA". It matches the Rfam family "Bacterial small subunit ribosomal RNA", at positions 355 to 774 of the family's 1533-position model. The record is from RNAcentral.
CUAAGAAUCUUCCGCAAUGGACGAAAGUCUGACGGAGCGACGCCGCGUGGGUGAAGAAGGCCGUGAGGUUGUAAAGCCCUUUUCUUGUUGAAGAAUAAAACGGGGAGGGAAUGCCCCGGAGAUGACGUUAGGCAAGGAAUAAGCCCCGGCCAAUUACGUGCCAGCAGCCGCGGUAACACGUAUGGGGCGAGCGUUGUUCGGAAUUAUUGGGCGUAAAGGGCGCGUAGGCGGUAGUAUAAGCCCGGUGUGAAAGGCCACAGCUCAACUGUGGGAAUGCGCUGGGAACUGUAUUGCUUGAGUUCUGGAGGGGAAGUUGGAAUUCCUGGUGUAGGGGUGAAAUCUGUAGAUAUCAGGAAGAACACCAGUGGCGAAGGCGAACUUCUGGCCAAGAACUGACGCUGAGGCGCGAAAGCGUGGGGAGCGAACA